Molecule: long non-coding RNA, 1126 nt
Organism: Poeciliopsis prolifica (blackstripe livebearer)
Lineage: Eukaryota; Metazoa; Chordata; Actinopteri; Cyprinodontiformes; Poeciliidae
Exons: 3
Source: RefSeq, a predicted model, not a curated record
GAAGAGGGGAAGAAGACGCAGCGCCAUGCUGGACUGUGAAGGUGAAACGUAAUCCUCACUAAAUGCGGAGUAAAUCGUAUGAAGAUGGGACUGAAAGGAGAGAAGAAAAGAAAGGACUGGAAACUGCGUUUGUGUUGAGAGGAGCUGAGGGACCAGAGCCAUGGCAACAACAGAUCUGCAUCUCCAGAUCCCCAUCCAGUUUGGCACAAAGGUCACUCAUGGUUAUGUAUUUCAUGGCAGUUAGGAAGUGAGUCCAGUCCGCAGCUGAGGAGGGAAAAUGUUCCUGUUAUGGAGUGGCUGCUGCGCCCAAAUCAAUCAGUCAGGGAGACGAACUGAUGACAGGUGAAGCUUUACGGCUUCAGUCCAAACCAUUCCAGAGGUUCAACAUCAGCCCAGUUUGCCUAAACUAAACUGGGCUUGUUUUCGUCUUCAUAUCUAAAUGUUGUUUAUCGUUACUUAGGGCAGUGGUUCCCAAAGUGUGGGGCGCGGCCCCUAUUGGGGGCGCAGUGCCAUUGCAGGGGGGGACGCAGGAAACGGUUUGGAUGAAUAAAACCAAACAGCUACACAAAAGUGUUUCACUGUAAAGAUGGUUUGCAGUUUGUUUUGUUGCAACCUGAAAUGUGACAUAAACCUCAGUGGAGUUGGAAAACAAAAUAUGUGUAAAGAUUUAUGUGUGGUUGAACGAGGUGUGGAUUUUUUUUUCAUUUUUUGGGGGGGAUUUUAUUGUAAUGCGUAGGGGGCCCAGAAAAUCUUUGGGAACCACUGACUUAGGCCUCGGCGAUAUGGUAUAUAUUUUUCAAAACAGAUGCAAUUUUAAUUGAUUCCCACUUUCUUUCUCAAAAAUGAGUUUUUCUGUCAGUCAUUCCCUCUUUGAGUUGUAAGACGGGGUAUUAGCGCCAGGCUGCAACAACUUUUGUGACAUAUUAGCAGAAUAAAGAAACAAUUUUACCAGAAGAAAGUUGAUUCAGCUUUUACUAUUCAGAUAUUGAUUGGUUGAAUAAUAAAAAUAAUCAAUAGAUCAGCCGUGCAAUGUACUGAUGUUAAGAGGCCUGAGCUUUGAUGUUAGACGUUCUCUAAGUUGUAGAUGCAUCCUUUGCUGCAAAUGAUCAAGUGUUCAAUAAAGACA